AGAGCGAAGGUUGACAGAGUCGUUGUUGAUUCGCGUUGCUAUAGAGCGCGUUUCAGGCCUCCGUAACUUUGCUUGGCUCUGGUGGAUUUGAUUCCCCGUUGUAAUUAGAGAGGAAGCCUCUCAAGUGCUCAGAAAAACAAAAUUUGGGUCUGUGGAAUGACCGAGUUGAAUAUUGGCUGCAAUACUACCAACUCCCUCCUUCAUCACCACGGAACGAUAACGUAAACUGAAUCACUCUGAAGCCUCCAGAUUUCAACAUCGAGUCGAGUUCAUGCGUAAUUUUCCAAGCGUCGAUUCAACAACUCUACCUCGCAUCUCACAAAUUGACUGCUUGCCCCAGAGUCGCGUGGAUCCAGACGAGUUCGAGCAGAAGCGAAGGGCUGACAAAAUAGAAGAACACAAAAAUCAAGUCAUGUCUCAAGCAGCCGCGUUGAAAGAACAGAGCUUUGGCCACAAACGGACUCAAUAUCCCUCGGGGGUCUUGCCUCCGAUUUCACAGAUAUCCAUGGGGGGAAGGCAGCUCCCUGCGGACGGAAGCACCCAGGGAGGCUUGAAACUUCCCCCUAUCUCUCAAGUGAGCUGUCUAGGGGGAUUCGUGGAUGACAAACACGUAGUAGUGAAGCAAUCAAAGUCUCGGAUCCGAGAGACCGAUUCUGACUUCAUAAGGCUGUCCAAAGCAGGAGGUCAGAAGAAUCUGCUCCAUUACAUAGAAGCUAAUUCCACGCCGCGCGCGGACGCCACCGACGCGAGCGUGACUCCUCGCACGCGUUACCUUCCCGGGUUCACUUCGGAGGCAGACCCAAGAUGGCGUCCAUCCCACUGGUCGGACUUCUCGCGUCGAGGACAAGCCAGAAGCGAUCACAGACUUAUAUGGAGGUAGAUAAAUGCGAGAACUGACUUAUAUAGAGGUAGAUAAAUGCAUGCGAGAACUGACUUACCAACAAAUGCUGGCGUAAAAAGCUUAUUCAUAUGCUCUUCGACUGUUUCAAGAUUUUCUUACUUGGAAAGUUUCAUUGCCUUUUAUUUUGAUAAAGUAACAGUAGCCCGUUCUAACGAACAAUAACUGAACAAUAUACCUGAUUUUUGUCUCAUUACGUGUAAAAUAUGACAAAAUUGAGUGAAUGAUAAAUAUCUGUUCUUUGUAUCAGAGUUUACGUGAAGUAUUUCCUCCAUCAAUGCCCCGUCCGCGUAUUUCAAAUUUUAGGUUUCCCUUGGUCAAUCUCCAGGACUGAAUCAGUUUUAUCUUGAGAAAAUUUUAUUUUUGACAAAAAAUAACCUGGAUUAGUCCCGCCUUCUCUUACCUCAAUUCUUGUAGUUGUACGAGUUUACGUUUGAAAUUCCAUGUUUUAUACCAGUGUUUAUUCAUGGACGGGCGCUCAAUCGACAAAUUACGCGUUUUCUUUCGUCUAAAUCACUGUACAUUCCUAUUAAGGUGGGUAAUCUAAGGGCCGUUGUAGACAAAUCAACGAUAGCAGAACUCAAACAAUUUCCUUGGUUAGUUUUUUUCUGAAUAUUAUCCAAACAAUGUACUGACAUCUGCGGUAGACCGCGGCUGCAGUCAGUGUGAUGGACUGGACGCCAGUCACAAGAGGUAGUUGUUCCACUAAAUGGUUCAAGUUAUUAAAAGUUUUUGAAAAAUUAGAUGUACCGAUCAGGAUGUAAAUACUGUUUAAAUAAUAGAUAAAAUCAUGUAUGUCCAAGACGUUUACGUAAUAAAAUUACAUUUUACAUGCCA
Molecule: long non-coding RNA, 1735 nt
Filed under: Orbicella faveolata
Lineage: Eukaryota; Metazoa; Cnidaria; Anthozoa; Scleractinia; Merulinidae
Description: uncharacterized LOC110046638
Source: RNAcentral